Molecule: ribosomal RNA, 808 nt
Filed under: uncultured bacterium
Lineage: Bacteria
Description: bacterial SSU rRNA
Rfam family: Bacterial small subunit ribosomal RNA
Source: RNAcentral
ACACAUGCAAGUCGAGGGGCAGCAUGUCCAGCAAUGGAUGAUGGCGACCGGCGAAAGGGUGCGUAACGCGUGAGCAACAUGCCCUAUACAGGGAGAUACACCAGGGAAACUUGGUCUAAUAUCCCAUAGCAUUCAUUGAAGGCAUCUUUAAUGAAUUAAAGCUUCGGUGGUAUAGGAUUGGCUCGCGUGACAUUAGCCAGAUGGUGAGGUAACGGCUCACCAUAGCAAUGAUGUCUAGGGGUUUUGAGAGGAAGGCCCCCCACACUGGGACUGAGACACGGCCCAGACUCCUACGGGAGGCAGCAGUGAGGAAUAUUGGACAAUGGAUGGAAAUCUGAUCCAGCCAUGCCGCGUGCAGGAAGACGGCCUUAUGGGUUGUAAACUGCUUUUAUACGGGAGCAAUAAGGGUUACGAGUAAUCCGAUGAGAGUACUGUAUGAAUAAGGAUCGGCUAACUCCGUGCCAGCAGCCGCGGUAAUACGGAGGAUCCGAGCGUUAUCCGGAAUUAUUGGGUUUAAAGGGUGCGUAGGCGGCCAUUUAAGUCAGCGGUGAAAUUUUGCAGCUUAACUGUAACAGUGCCGUUGAUACUGUUUGGCUAGGAUUUGGUUGUAGUGUGCGGAAUGUGUGGUGUAGCGGUGAAAUGCUUAGAUAUCACACAGAACACCGAUUGCGAAGGCAGCACACUAAGUCAUUAUUGACGCUGAGGCACGAAAGUGUGGGGAUCAAACAGGAUUAGAUACCCUGGUAGUCCACACUGUAAACGAUGAUAACUCGCUGUCGGCGAUACACAGUCGGGGCCAAGCGAAAGC